UGUAGGUGAGGUCAAAUGACUGGCAUGGGACCUCUCAGUUGGUUGUGGUCAGACAGCAGUUGGACUGGGGUCACCUUGAAGGCUGCUUCACUCCCAUGUCUGUAUCAUGCACUGGGGAGACUCAGCAGAAAACACUAUUUGUGCUGUAUCGGUCAGAGCCAAUCACGUCAGCUGCUGUAACACACAACUGCAAGGUCUUGGUGCUGUAAGACCAAUUUUCACUCAUUUCUAGGCACUGUUUUAAGUGGUGUGAUGAAGCACUGAAUGGGAGAGACAAGAUUCUGUUUUCAGAGGAGCUCACAUUCUAACUGAGAAAGCUGAGAUGAGGAGAAGGA
This is a non-coding RNA of Heterocephalus glaber (naked mole-rat), 335 nucleotides long. The record is from RefSeq and is a predicted model, not a curated record. Lineage: Eukaryota; Metazoa; Chordata; Mammalia; Rodentia; Bathyergidae.